AAGUCGUAACAAGGUUUCCGUAGGUGAACCUGCGGAAGGAUCAUUAACACGUAUCCAACGUUAAACCCCCUGUGAACCUUCAUUGUGCUCCCACGCUUUGUUAGAAAGUAGCAAUCCCUGGUAAAUCAUCGCCGAACAGUUUUGAUUCAGGGACUUCUGCGAAGAGGGUGAUGUAGCGCGAGGCAAUGGACCGGGCAUUCCUCUGCUUGUUGGUGUCUGAAAUUGUCACUAACUCUGUACGAAUGGCGCAUAGUCACGUUUGCAUGAAAACGGGCCUGCGCUUAAUUGUGCGGCCACCAAACUCGAACAACUGUUAACAAUGGAUAUCUUGGUUCUC
Molecule: unclassified non-coding RNA, 337 nt
Filed under: fungal sp.
Lineage: Eukaryota; Fungi
Description: partial internal transcribed spacer region
Rfam family: Eukaryotic small subunit ribosomal RNA (bases 1-46)
Source: RNAcentral